CUUUGAUUUCAGGAACCGUCUUUCUCUGUACAGUUUAAGAGAAGGGUCCUGGUUUACAAACUCCAUUGUUUCUUGCGCAGCACUCUGAGCCAGUCUCUUUAAUUGACGUCAACAACUUCCUGAGGAACCUGCUCUUUUUAACAGCACAUUUGAGCCCCCAUAUGACACACCUUGUGACUUCUCCUGGCCUGUGGGUGAGUCUAGACAGUUGAUCGGAAUUUGAGACCAGAAGAGGGUGUCGUAUCCCCAAGAACCAGAGUUACAGAUGCUUGUGAGCUGUCCUGUAGGUACUGGAAACUAAACCUGGGUCGCCUGGAAG
This is a non-coding RNA of Myodes glareolus (Bank vole), 319 nucleotides long. Lineage: Eukaryota; Metazoa; Chordata; Mammalia; Rodentia; Cricetidae. The record is from RefSeq and is a predicted model, not a curated record.